Molecule: unclassified non-coding RNA, 206 nt
Filed under: Hevea brasiliensis (rubber tree)
Lineage: Eukaryota; Viridiplantae; Streptophyta; Magnoliopsida; Malpighiales; Euphorbiaceae
Source: RNAcentral
UGAUGAGGGGAUGUCAACUGUAGUCUAAAUGAACCUAUAAAUUUGUUGACUCAAAUGAAACCUGAAGUACAAAUGCUAUACGAGAGGAAACUUUAUCAUAGUGAUAUUCCUUCCUAAGAACCAUCUCAACAAAUAAAAUAUCUCAUCAAGUAACAGACAGUAAAAUUUAAGUGCUAUUACAAUAACCUGUUGAUUCCCAGGAGAAA